AUUGAACGCUGGCGGCAGGCCUAACACAUGCAAGUCGAGCGGAGCGGCGGACGGGUGCGUAAUGCCUAGGAAUCUGCCUGGUAGUGGGGGAUAACGUACGGAAACGGGCGGUAAUACCGCAUACUAUCAGAUGAGCCUAGGUCGGAUUAGCUAGUUGGUGGGGUAAAGGCCUACCAAGGCGACGAUCGGUAACUGGUCUGAGAGUAUGAUCAGUCAAACUGGAACUGAGACACGUUCCAGACUCCUACGUGAGGCAGCAGUGGGGAAUAUUGGACAAUGGGCGAAAGCCUGAUCCAGCCAUGCCGCUUGUGUGAAGAAGGUCUUCGGAUUGUAAAGCACUUUAAGUUGGGAGGCGUUACCAACAGAAUAAGCACCGGCUAACUUCGUGCCAGCAGCCGCGGUAAUUC
This 407-nucleotide ribosomal RNA is filed under the name uncultured bacterium. Its description in RNAcentral is "partial 16S ribosomal RNA". It matches the Rfam family "Bacterial small subunit ribosomal RNA", at positions 30 to 526 of the family's 1533-position model. The record is from RNAcentral.